AGCUCCUUAGUGUAGUGGCCAAGCAUGGGAGGCUCUGACCCUCUUGACACCAGUUCGAAUCUGGUAGGAGCUACCA
This 76-nucleotide transfer RNA is filed under the name Promethearchaeota archaeon. RNAcentral's name for it is "tRNA-Gln". It matches the Rfam family "tRNA". Rfam says of the family: Transfer RNA (tRNA) molecules are approximately 80 nucleotides in length. Their secondary structure includes four short double-helical elements and three loops (D, anti-codon, and T loops). Lineage: Archaea; Promethearchaeati; Promethearchaeota. RNAcentral also lists the same sequence under 1 other name. The record is from RNAcentral.